UAGUCAUAUGCUUGUCUCAAAGAUUAAGCCAUGCAUGUCUAAGUACAUACUGUUUAUAAAGUGAAACCGCGAAUGGCUCAUUAAAUCAGUUACGGUUCCUCGGAUAUUCUUUUUACAUGGAUAACUGUGGUAAUUCUAGAGCUAAUACAUGAACAAGUGUUCCAACCUCAGCUUGCUGACGGAAGGAUCGCAUUUAUUAGUACAAGACCAAUGAUUCUUAUUCACCUAGAACCCUGUUCAGUGAUUUCGGUCGCUGUCUAAGGACUAGCAGUGGGGAUCUUAGCAACUUCGGUUGCAUUUCUUGUGAUGACUCUGAAUAACUGAGCAAAUCGUAUGGCCUCUGAGCCGACGAUGUAUCCCUCAAGCAACUGCCUUAUCAACUGUCGAUGGUAGGUUAUGCGCCUACCAUGGUUGUAACGGGUAACGGGGAAUUAGGGUUCGAUUCCGGAGAGGGAGCUGAGAAACGGCUACCACAUCUAAGGAAGGCAGCAGGCGCGCAAAUUACACAAUCCCAGUACGGGGAUGUAGUGACGAAAAAUAACAAUACGGGACUCUAUUGAGGCCCCGUAAUUGGAAUGAGUACAAUUUAAAUCCUUUAACGAGGAUCUAUUGGAGGGCAAGUCUGGUGCCAGCAGCCGCGGUAAUUCCAGCUCCAAUAGCGUAUAUUA
RNAcentral lists this ribosomal RNA (668 nucleotides) under Tetranychus urticae (two-spotted spider mite). RNAcentral's name for it is "rRNA tetur06g06565". It matches the Rfam family "Eukaryotic small subunit ribosomal RNA", at positions 21 to 606 of the family's 1831-position model. The record is from RNAcentral. Lineage: Eukaryota; Metazoa; Arthropoda; Arachnida; Trombidiformes; Tetranychidae.